UACGAAGGGGGCUAGCGUUGUCCGGAUUUAUUGGGCGUAAAGAGCGUGUAGGCGGCUAGGUAGGUCCGUUGUGAAAACUCGAGGCUCAACCUCGAGACGUCGAUGGAAACCAUCUAGCUAGAGUCCGGAAGAGGAGAGUGGAAUUCCUGGUGUAGCGGUGAAAUGGGCAGAUAUCAGGAAGAACACCCGUGGCGAAGGCGGCUCUCUGGUACGUGACUGACGCUGAGACGCGAAAGCGUGGGGAGCGAACAGG
This 253-nucleotide ribosomal RNA is filed under the name uncultured bacterium. RNAcentral's name for it is "partial 16S ribosomal RNA". It matches the Rfam family "Bacterial small subunit ribosomal RNA", at positions 524 to 776 of the family's 1533-position model. The record is from RNAcentral.